Molecule: ribosomal RNA, 253 nt
Filed under: uncultured bacterium
Lineage: Bacteria
Description: partial 16S ribosomal RNA
Rfam family: Bacterial small subunit ribosomal RNA
Source: RNAcentral
UACGUAGGGUGCAAGCGUUAAUCGGAAUUACUGGGCGUAAAGCGUGCGCAGGCGGUUAUGUAAGACAGAUGUGAAAUGCCCGGGCUUAACCUGGGAACUGCAUUUGUGACUGCAUGGCUAGAGUUUGGCAGAGGGGGGUAGAAUUCCACGUGUAGCAGUGAAAUGCGUAGAUAUGUGGAGGAACACCGAUGGCGAAGGCAGGUCUCUGGGCCGAUACUGACGCUGAGGAGCGAAAGCGUGGGGAGCGAACAGG